GGAUGGACCAUAUUUGUAGACAGAUUAGUCCUGAGGUAAUAUUUGCAAGUGGAUGGGCCUUGAGGCCGUGUUCAAUUAUUUGUAUGGGCUAUUGAGACCGAACUGGUUAUGUAUUGGUUGUGGAGACAUAUCUUUAUUCGAUUUGACUGGUGAGGCUGAGCUUAUCCUGUUGGGAUUGGCUGUGGAGGUGUUAUCAAGCUUGGCCGUUGAGGCCAAGCUUUUCAAGUGGCUAAUCCAACUGAGAUUUUGAAGGCUGAACUAUCUGUCCAAGCUUUCAACGGUAGACAGGUCCUAAGUCUGAACUCCUUACAUUGUUUCUGAUUUCUAUUAUUUGGAAAUAUUGAAUUGGGUGUAGGUGUCGUACCCUGUUUUCUUUCGUAAUCGGAUACAUGUUCUUUCGUGUUUAAGCGCUGCGAAAUAUUUGAUUGUAAAUUUAAGAACUAUAAAUAUAUUUAAAUUUUUUUAUUGACACGAAUUGAUGGAAUAUCUUAUGCAGUAUGUACGUAUAAAUGAACAUGAGUAAGAGUGUCGUCCACGGUUUAUUUUGUCUUCAAACUCUAAAUAGAAAUCUCAGACGAAUAAAAAUCAAGCAAUGGGGUGAUUUCUGAGAAAGACUUUUUAAUAAUUUUUUUUGACAAUACAUAUUUUUAUGAUUGAUUCGUUUAAAAUAUUUUUUUUUAAAAUAAAUUCAAACAAAUCAAUAUAACAGUGAAACGGAUCCUGUGAAAAAAUUAUUAAUAAAGAGUUCUAAAAAUAUCAUUAUUUUUUCUUUAUUCGAUACGAAGGAAAUGAGACAUAGUAUCCAUAAGCGGAUAUGCACUGCGGCGAAAAAGAUUCAAAAAAGGGUAUUCACACCUAGUUUUCUUUUUUCUGAUACACAUGAAUCGACUUUUAACAUAUUUAAUUAAAAUACAAAGUUAAUCAUUCAAUAUAAAACUAACAAAAUCAGGUACAAGAUUGUUAUAUAAAGAAGCAAGUUAGUUAAUUAUUUCCAGUCAUAUUUAAUGAAUAUAUUUUUUUUCUUUCUUUAAUAAUUAUUCACAGCCUAAAGAGAGCCAAGAGAAAAAGUAUGAAAGAUAACAGCAUGAAUUUGAUUAUAUAUAAGAAAUAUUCGCAGCGCUUAAACACGAAAGAGCACGUAUCCGACUAUUUCAAACAAUAAUGUAAGGAAGGUCAAGAUUGAGGCAUGGUAUAAAGAUGUAGUCAAACACUAGAAACUGUUGUUCAUAGCAACCACACUACAUAGUGUGAACAUAUUUUGAUACAGUUAAAUAAAAAAUGAAAACACAAAGGGGUUGAGAGCAUAAAUAAACACUUCUAAAGUGCAUGCAUGUAUAUAUACGAAACUGAUUGUAUUUCAAAAGAAAGUAGAACAAAGAAACAUAAUACAAGGACUUUCUAAGCUGAAAGAAACAGAAAUCAAGUCUAACGACUAAAUGGUAUUGACCAGUAAAUGCACACUAUAUACUAGGAGCCUACGAAUAGAAAUAUGAAAAGAAACUAAAAAUGAAGUUAGACAGAUGGUCUAACUUCAAGACCGGCUUCCAUUGUUGAUUCUCUUGUAGGAGUAUUGUUUUGUUCAGCUUCACCAGACAUCUCCUCCAGCGAUUUUCCUUUAGAUUCAGGAAUCAGAAACGUAAAGAUAAACCCCAAGAAGUUAAUGGCAGACAAAAUAAGAAGUGUAUUUCUUAGUCCAAUGGCGUUUUGAGCAUAGAGGAAGCCAAAAGCCCCUACCAUUGCCCCAGCUUUGCCAGCUGCAGCCGAUAUGCCAUGACAUGUUGACCUUAGUCUUGCAGGGAAAAUCUCUGCUGGCACCACGAAUGUUGUGGCAUUUGGACCAAAAUUGGCAAAGAAGAAGGUCAAUGAAUAGAGGACAACAAACCCAAUUUGGUUGCCGCUCAAGGUCCAGUGGUGGUAUGGAAUGGCUAAGGCAAGCAUGAAGACGGUCAUAAAGAAAAAUCCCAUCAACUGAAUUGUAUACCUGCCCAUCUUAUCAAUGAGUGCCACUGUGAACCAGUAACCAGGGACAGUACUGCAAAGAGCUAUGAGGGUCUGUGCUCUAGCAAUUUUGUAAACCUCUUGAAUGGCAUUCAUGGUUUUUGCUGGAGGAAUCCAACCAAUAGUACUGAAAAUGUCUUUCUGGAAAAGAUUCUGACUGUAAUAGGCAAUGUCCAACAGGAACCAAGUACUGGCUGUUCCAACAAGGUGAAGUCCAUGGCGAAGAAGGAACUCUUUUGUGAACAGGCCAAACUCAUUCCCCCUUCCUCUUCUUCCUUCCAAUUCCUCAACUUUCUCUGGUUCAGCUUCUAUCUCAACCUGCAACACCUUUGACAUAUCUGCAGCAGCUUGGCUCGUAUUCUUGGCAACCAAGGCAGUGUAUCUCGCAGUCUCGGGCAUUUUCAAGCGCCAAUAGUAUGUGAUCACAGCAGGGAUUGCACCAAACAUCAAGAUUAUCCUCCAAACGUAAUCAGCUUGUGGCACUGUGGACAGAAGUGGGUUGACCUGGAAUGUUGGAGCGGGAUAGAGGGCACCGAAAGCAGCUGACACUACUAUUGCAACCACUCCACCAGCCAAAAUUCCAAAACCUUGCAUGGCAAAAACAGCAGCUAUGAACGCUCCACGAGUCUUCUUGUUGGCAUACUCAGCCAUGAUGGUGGCGGAAAGAGGGUAGUCUCCACCAAUUCCAAAUCCAAGCCAGAAGCGGAAGAAACAAAGGGUAGCCAUGACAGCUUUAGGGUCUUUACCAAAGGAAAGACCAGAAGCAAUUGAGCUUACGACCAUGAGCAUAAGGGUCAUACCGUAGACACGCUUCCUUCCCAUUUUGUCACCAAGCCACCCAAAGAAAAGUUGGCCUGCAAGGGAUCCACAGAAUGCGACACCAUUGAUGGCAGCUGAAACAUUUGCUGGCAGAGAGCCAGGCUUAUCAUGGCCUACAGUAUAGUAUAUUCGGCCAAGUAAUUUGGUGACCAGGGAUAUGCAGAACAGGUCAUAAGAAUCAGUGAAGAAACCCAUUCCAGCAAUCACAAUUGCUGUGAAAUGAUACCAUUGUGUCUUAGCAACAUCCAGUGCAUUAAGCACAUGCAGAGAUUGCCCACCCAUGCUUUUCUUCCUUCAAUCUUUCAGGACCUUAACUUCAGAAAAACACACAAUAGUUAACAUCAGAAAAUAAUAUAUAUAAAAAACAUGAACUGUGAUACUUUACAAUGAAGGAGAGAGACUUUUAGUCGUUACCAACACCCAGUUUUUAUGAAAGACCUCUUAAACACUAAUCACAUGACACUUUUCUUUUAAAAUAUAAAAUAAAAUUAUUAAAGAUAUUAGGUCAGUAUCAAGAGAAUGAAUCUAAUAACAAAAUAGACAAGAACUAAAACAGUAAUUUAAAAAACAAGGAGAUAAUUAACCUAAAGAGAGCAGAAAAUUAUAUCCUGCAUUCUAACGUGUGCAUGGAAACCCUAAAGUGAAAAAGAGCACUUAGAUAUGCAGAUGUUUAGAGUGAAAAAAAUCAGAAAGAAACAGAGAGACAUAUAUUAAAUGCCGAAUAAUUUAUUUAUUCCUUAAAAGAUAUCAAACUGAAGACAUUCUCGUAUUACAGACCAGCAGACAGCAGAUCACAGAGACUUAACGUGAGAAGAGAUUACACACCUCAGUAGCACGCCGCAAAUCACAAACGUGAGGAGUAAGCUUUGAAGUAAGGAAUUUGACGUAGAAGGAGGGAUGGUUCCCCCUAUUUAAAAGAAACCAUUCUAUCUUAUCUUAGUAAAAGAUAUAAAUUAAUCAAAAUAUUCUUUAUCUAUUUCCUUUUAAUCUUUUUAUUUAUUUUGUUAUUAGAGAUUAAAGAUAAUGAUAAUUACAAAGGAUAAGAGGUAGAUAUAUAAUUUUAGG
This 3882-nucleotide long non-coding RNA is filed under the name Vigna radiata. Its description in RNAcentral is "long non-coding RNA (VRAD_LNC009178)". Lineage: Eukaryota; Viridiplantae; Streptophyta; Magnoliopsida; Fabales; Fabaceae. The record is from RNAcentral.